Long non-coding RNA from Misgurnus anguillicaudatus (oriental weatherfish), 1207 nucleotides. RefSeq lists it as uncharacterized. The record is from RefSeq and is a predicted model, not a curated record. NCBI's taxonomy places the organism in Eukaryota, Metazoa, Chordata, Actinopteri, Cypriniformes, Cobitidae.
UUCAUAGAUUUGCUUUCUAAGGUGUGCUGGUGUGUGUUUUACUCUGUAAGGCUGGAACAGAUGGUGUGGUCCAACCUUAACACUAAAGGGAAUGGUUGCUGUUUUUACAGUUGUGUUAAGAGUCCUACCAAGAUGAGAAGAGAGUUUUCAACAACCGUUUCCAGCGAAACUCAUAUCCAUAAUUAAUAAAGGCUUGAGGCUAAACACAGCACUCGGGGGAAUGACUGGCAUAUAGCACAUCCUCUGUGUCUUCGACACUUGCUAAGUGAAUUUUUUAGGAGUGCUGUGCAGUGACAAAACGCCACAUGUGUCAAAGAAACUGGAGAUGGGUGCUUUCGUAAGUAAGAGCGAUUCUGUCCCCGUGAAAAGCGUGGAGCACUUUGCCGGUGACCUUCCCGAUGAGCGCGGCUGAAAUUGGAUGAUUGCGUGCUGUGUUACCGGACAAGUGACAGGUGGCUGUAUCUCCAGGCUUGAAGGCAGGCAAUCUCACAUACCCAGUCCAUGUGUGCUGCACCCAGUUCCCAGGUGAGCUGUCAUCUAGUCUGGUUGAGUCCAGGAGAACAGGACCGCAUGACGUUCACUUCACCCGAGAGAACAACAUCUCCGAAGCUCCUUCUUUCCAUCCCAUCAUUUCACCGGAUGCCAGCUUGAUUUCACUUUCUGCUUCGUGACAUUUGGCUGACUGAGUUGAGAUGUCAUAGACAGGCAGUGGCAGGUGAGGCUGAGGGAGAACAAGAACUGUCAUCUCUCCGGUUAUCACAGCAGUGUGCAGAUUUCCAAAUGCCUUCUUUUCAAACAGCUAAGUACGUAUUAACUGUAAUGGUGUGACAUAGCUGUUUGGAGCUGCUUUUCUGUCCUCUGGGUCUCUGGCUCUCACAUUUCCAGUAAGAUCUCAGAAACACGACUUGAAAGACAAAUGGACUUUGACAUUUAACAUGAAAAACAAAAAAUGCUGUCAGAAUUGUAUCCUCUGGAAAAGUGUAUUUGACUUGAGUGAAGCAACAGCGCGACCCCCUCCAUGCUUUAUAAUUAUUCCACUUCGGGUUUUCUGUUCCCCUGCUGUUUGCUCACGGGUGAGAGACACCUGGCUCUGAUUUGUGCUUUAAUUUAAAUUCGUUUUUCUAAUAUGAACUGGUCUAGACACAAUAUAUAUAUCUUAGCAGAAAUUGAAAAAUGUUGCAUUUACUUCACACAAGCGCAGCCAUGU